UGGGGAAUCUUGCACAAUGGGCGAAAGCCUGAUGCAGCGACGCCGCGUGGGGGAUGAAGCUUCUCGGAGUGUAAACCCCUUUCGACCCGGACGAAUGCCCCGCAAGGGGACUGACGGUACGGGUAUAAGAAGCCUCGGCUAACUACGUGCCAGCAGCCGCGGUAAGACGUAGGGGGCCAGCGUUGCUCGGAAUUACUGGGUGUAAAGGGUUCGUAGGCGGUGUGGCAAGUCGGGAGUGAAAUCUCUGGGCUCAACCCAGAGUCUGCUUCCGAAACUGCUGUGCUUGAGUGUGGGAGAGGCGCGUGGAAUUGCAGGUGUAGCGGUGAAAUGCGUAGAUAUCUGCAGGAACACCCGUGGCGAAAGCGGCGCGCUGGACCACUACUGACGCUGAGGAACGAAAGCUAGGGGAGCAAACAGGAUUAGAUACCCUGGUAGUCCUAGCCCUAAACGAUCAGGACUUGGGGUGCCACCCUUUCGGGUGUCGUCCCGGAGCUAACGCGUUAAGUCCUGCACCUGGGGAGUACGGUCGCAAGACUGA
This 538-nucleotide ribosomal RNA is filed under the name uncultured Acidobacteriota bacterium. RNAcentral describes it as "bacterial SSU rRNA". It matches the Rfam family "Bacterial small subunit ribosomal RNA", at positions 355 to 897 of the family's 1533-position model. Lineage: Bacteria; Pseudomonadati; Acidobacteriota. The record is from RNAcentral.